Molecule: non-coding RNA, 1435 nt
Organism: Plutella xylostella (diamondback moth)
Lineage: Eukaryota; Metazoa; Arthropoda; Insecta; Lepidoptera; Plutellidae
Source: RefSeq, a predicted model, not a curated record
GUGUGGUAGGGUGCGGGCGGAGAGGCCUUGCCGCACAAAGAAUCCCACGCCUCCGCCCCGCGAGCGCAGUCGCCUCGGCCGCGCCACGUGACGCAGUCGAUAGCCGGCUACUCGCGGAGCGCGGCCCUCCUCGCCGUCAUGCAACCACGUCUCAUUUAUCGCCACCACGUCUGCUAAAGAGUUGUGUAUAGUCACAGUCAGUUCGUCGUGUCCAGUACCAAGAGAACCUGCAUUAAACAGACCAACCUUAAAGUAAUUUGUUUUAAUCAUAACUAGUUAUAUAUGAUAAGAAGUGCCAAUGCAAGGAAUACGAAGGAAAUGUGAAGGGAUAAAGGCAAACACCGAGUACACAACGAGGUUUGCAGCCAGCAGCCUGAACCCGAGGCCAUUCCACCCGCCCCACCGAUGCUCCACUGCCUCUUUAUGUGUCUGACUAAUAGAGUGAUCAUAAAUUUAAGAUUAUCCAUAACAGCACUGAGGCAACAGAGCAUGACCAUUAGAUAACACGAACACAUACAGAAGAAAAUAAUAUAACAGAAGAAUAGUUUACAAAGUGGAGCGAACUGGUUCCUCUCCAAAAAUAUUAAUCAGGUCGUUUGCGCAUCUGAUUCUAGAAGCCGGUUUGCCUUCGGCUUGGCGUACAAACACACGACCAUCUUUUGUCCAUACGAAUCGCCACGAAAACCGCUUACACAGAUCUCUUGCUUUACCAAACAGUUGCCUAUUUAGCUUUGUAAGUCUCUCAUUUAAGUAGAACCUCUUUGGUUCUCCUUCGAGGCCCAUGUCGGCUGUGGUGAGGCCGCGGCGCACGCGCAUGGCGCGCAGCAGCUCGUCCCGGGUGGCGCGGCGCGCGAGGCGCACGACGAGGGGCCGCGCGCGCGCCGCCGCCGCCGCGCCCUCCGCCGCUCCCGCUGCAGGCCGCAGCGCGCCCACCCGCACGGCGCUCACGAUGUCGCGCUCGUCGACGGUCAUGCCCAGCUUCAACGCAAUCACUGACACGAGAUGGAUUGGGUUCUCGGAUUUAGUCUCGGGUAUGUGAGAUAUUUGGAUGUCAUUACCCAGUAAAUCUUGAUCGCGAUCGUGCAAUUCCAUUUUUAAAUCCUCUAUGGCUUGCUCGAGGCUUUCUAUCGCAGGAGAUUUAUUGCUGGAGUAAUUGGUCUCCAUGGCUUCCACUCUCUUUUCCAUGUCCUCCAGUCGUUUAUUGCAUGCAAAGAUCGCGGCCUUGAAGCUAGAGAUUUCUUCUCUUAAUUCCUUAAAUUCGCCGCUCACUCCCCGUAUCUCGUUACUGCAAUGCGUUUUGAGAGAUCCCAGUUCCUCUCUGAACGAUCUUAUCUCCAGCGCAAGGUCAACGUGGAACUCUAAAGUUGCAUUAUUUGCCGUGCUAUUCAUUACAGCCUCAUCUCCCGCCUCGCCAUGAGCACCUGUUAUAAUCUCG